AGGGUGUAAACGCUGCAGACUUGGUGUUGGAAGUCCUUUGGGGGCAUUCAGUGCCGGAGAGAAGUUGUUAAGUCUGCUACUUGGGGAGUACGUCCGCAAGGAUGAAACUUAAAGGAAUUGGCGGGGGGAGCACCGCAACGGGAGGAGCGUGCGGUUUAAUUGGAUUCAACACCGUAAACUCACCAGGGAAGACUGUUACAUGGAAGCCGAGAUGAAGACUCUGCUAGAUUUUCAGAGAGGAGGUGCAUGGCGUCAGUGACU
This 261-nucleotide ribosomal RNA is filed under the name uncultured archaeon. RNAcentral describes it as "partial 16S ribosomal RNA". It matches the Rfam family "Archaeal small subunit ribosomal RNA", at positions 748 to 1008 of the family's 1478-position model. The record is from RNAcentral.